GACGAACGCUGGCGGCGUGCUUAACACAUGCAAGUCGAACGGAAAGGCCCUGCUUUUGUGGGGUGCUCGAGUGGCGAACGGGUGAGUAACACGUGAGUAACCUGCCCUUGACUUUGGGAUAACUUCAGGAAACUGGGGCUAAUACCGGAUAGGAGCUCCUGCUGCAUGGUGGGGGUUGGAAAGUUUCGGCGGUUGGGGAUGGACUCGCGGCUUAUCAGCUUGUUGGUGGGGUAGUGGCUUACCAAGGCUUUGACGGGUAGCCGGCCUGAGAGGGUGACCGGCCACGUUGGGACUGAGAUACGACACAGACUCCUACGGGAGGCAGCAGUGGGGAAUAUUGCACAGUGGGCGGAAGCCUGAUGCAGCAACGCCGCGUGCGGGAUGACGGCCUUCGGGUUGUAAACCGCUUUCGCCUGUGACGAAGCGUGAGUGACGGUAAUGGGUAAAGAAGCACCGGCUAACUACGUG
This 468-nucleotide ribosomal RNA is filed under the name uncultured bacterium. Its description in RNAcentral is "partial 16S ribosomal RNA". It matches the Rfam family "Bacterial small subunit ribosomal RNA", at positions 28 to 507 of the family's 1533-position model. The record is from RNAcentral.